GAUGGUCAUAUCACGUUGAAACACCGGUUUCUGUACGAUCACCGAAGUUAAGUAACGUUGAGUUUGGUCAGUACCGGAAUGGGCGACCGCUUGAAAAUACCAGGUGCUGUAAG
Acanthosepion pharaonis is the source of this 113-nucleotide non-coding RNA. Lineage: Eukaryota; Metazoa; Mollusca; Cephalopoda; Sepiida; Sepiidae. The record is from the annotation of a GenBank genome assembly.